GUAUUAGACCAUCCCCAAUGCCAGAUUAUCGUCAGGAGGGUAGCUUUCCGUCCAGGCAAUCGUUAGGUAGCAGAGUAUACCACAAUGUCCUCCAUGGCAUGGGGAAAAGCAAUCGCUAUGCCAUCGCUCGCCCCCAUGCAGGACAGAGGUGUUCCAGCGAUAGAUCGCUAUUACACAGCGCGAUCUGCCGCUGACACCAUUGGAUUUUGAGGCAUACUUUAAA
Long non-coding RNA from Bufo bufo (common toad), 223 nucleotides. RefSeq lists it as uncharacterized. The transcript is spliced from 5 exons. Lineage: Eukaryota; Metazoa; Chordata; Amphibia; Anura; Bufonidae. The record is from RefSeq and is a predicted model, not a curated record.